Molecule: non-coding RNA, 2319 nt
Organism: Triticum urartu
Lineage: Eukaryota; Viridiplantae; Streptophyta; Magnoliopsida; Poales; Poaceae
Source: RefSeq, a predicted model, not a curated record
CAGCCUCUCUCUUUCACACGCGCGUGAACCCUAGCCGAUCCAGAUCCCUCCGCCGCUGCCCCGUCCUUCCGCCGCCCUCGCCAUCGGUCUGCACCCUCCCCUUCCCUCCCCUCCACUCCUCACUCGCCUCCGGCCUCGGCCUCCGCCUCGUCACGGCGGGCCAGGGCCAUGGACGCCGCCACCGCGGGCCGCACACGAUCUCCGCCGCGCGCGCCGGGAUGAGCCCGAGCCCCGGGCCGGAUCCGGGCCCCGAGAAGUCGGUCGCGUGGCCGGACCUCCGGGGCGGCCUCGAGCGGGCCGGCGCCCUCGCCGCGGAGCUCGCGGCCGAGGCUGAGGAACAGGCACGCCUGGCGCGCCGCCUUGAGGACGCGCACGAGGUGCGGUAGGGCGCGGCGCUGGACGAGAUGAGGCGGCGGCUCAAGUGGCGGUGGGCACGCGCGGACGAGCUCGCCGUCGCCAGGCGGAGGGCCGGCGAGGGCGUCGACCGCCGCAAGGAGCAGAUGCAGGCGCAGAUCGAGCGGGUGCUGCUACUCUCCAGAGCCCUCGCCGCCGCGCACCCACAAGUGCAGGUACUUGUGUGGUGAGAAGCAACCUCCGGCUGAUCAUCAGGGUCAUGGCGCCCCCUCACCCCGUGCAUUUGGUGAAUGUUUGGGAACUCUUUUGUAAAUUUGUUAAUCAGCAUUGUAUUGUACCACUUCCUGGUUGCCGUAUCAAAUAUUAUACCAUUGCACUAUUUAGUUACUUUUCAAAGUUGUGAUAAAUAUAGUUCUUUUUUACUUUCAAGAUAGCAUCAAAUUCAUGUCUUCCAUUUUUCUCAUCUACGUUGUGUGUCUAUAUAUAGCAGCACAGUUUUAGUUGCUCUGUAGGUUAUCAGUAGAACUCAACUAGCCAAUUAACAAGUGAACUCUAUCCAUUUGUUGAAUCCAUAUUUAGAAAGUUCACUUACCCUGCUACUAUAACAAACUGCUGGUGGUGGCUCUUUCACAGGUAGUACAUGCAUCAUCAGUCCUAUAUAGCUGCUGCUUAUGUACUCAUUUUGUUCUAGGAAAGUGGGAGGGCAGGGGCCCUUGAUUUUCUUGCAUAACUUGAGCAAAUUUGAUUUUUAUUCUCUGAAGUUGAUUCUCAUGUGUGGUCAUACCAAUAACACAUGCUUAAGACAUCAGUGGCUGGACUGUAGAUGUUUGAACCAGGAAAAAAAUUGUGGGGAAAUAAACCAUUUAUCCUUUAUUGCUUUGUGUUUUAUCUUCUAGAAUUAGUGUACUUUACUUAUAUGUUUAUAUGUUGAAUGACAGAAGCUCAAGGUGAAGAAGGCCAUCGAGAAGGGCAACGCCGACGGCGCCCAGAUCUAUGCGGAGAACGCCAUCCGCAAGCGCACCGAGCACAUGAACUACCUCCGCCUCGCCUCCCGCCUUGCCCCAUAUGCCCAUGAGUGAUAUAUACUACUUGCCUACUGCUGUAUCAUAUUGCUUACUUUUUUACAUCAGAUCAACUAUGAAGAGAAUUGGUGGUGGUUAGGGUGUUCUAGUGCUUAUCUAAUCCUCUUUCAAGCCUUUCGAGAUAGAGUUCUUUAGCUGACAAGUUUAGCAAAUGCUGUAGUGCUUAUGUUUUAGUUUUACACCUGUGUAAAAAUGAAUGGCUGCUACUGUUUCUAAUUUUAGGUUGGGAUGAGAUGCAUGUUUGCAUGCUUGUGCUUCUGUCACUACAAUCUAUACUACUGCUAUUGUCAUAUCCUGGUUGUUUUGUUGCUACCAAUAUUUUUCCCAUGUUUUGUUUCCUUGCAUGCUUACUACUACAAUCUAUACUACUACCAUUGUGCAAGAUGUUCACAUGUUAAUUUUUGUUGACUAAAAUCUCUUAUGCCGUUGACUUAGCUUGACCCAGAACAGCAGCAUCCUUGAUGCGUACUAACCUUCACCUCGUUCUUUCUCUCGUAGACUCGAAGGUCGCCGUAUGCAAGGCACCAAGGUGCAUGGUGCUCGCAAGCGAUGAAUGGAGGCUGUUUGACAUCGGCUACGCAAACCACCAUUAUGCUGGCCUUCAUUCAUGUUUUGUCGUGAGGUCCAGGAUGAACAAGUUGGGAUAAGCAUUGGAGCUAGUUAUACUGUGAUAGUUGUGUUACCUGAUGUGAACAUUUUUUUAUUGUAAACUUGAUGUGAACCAUAUUUUUCUGUAAUAAUGUGUUACCAGGAUGAACCAUCCUUGCUGUGUUACCAGGAUGAACAAGUUUGAUUGUAAUAAUGUGCCAAGUUUGGCUCUUUCACGAUUGUAUUCGUGAUGUGAACCAUAUUUUUCCUGAUUAGUCGUGCUCUGUUUGAAGCA